AGAGUUUGAUCAUGGCUCAGGAUGAACGCUAGCGGCAGGCUAAUACAUGCAAGUCGAGGGGUAACACAGGUAGCAAUACUGGGUGACGACCGGCGCACGGGUGCGUAACACGUAUAUAAUCUGCCCUUAUCUGGAGGAUUGCCCGGAGAAAUUCGGAUUAAUACUCCAUAAUAUAUUGAGGAGGCAUCUUUUUAAUAUUAAAGCUCAGGCGGAUAAGGAUGAAUAUGCGACUGAUUAGUUUGUUGGUGAGGUAACGGCUCACCAAGACUACGAUCAGUAGGGGUACUGAGAGGUUAAACCCCCACACUGGUACUGAGACACGGACCAGACUCCUACGGGAGGCAGCAGUAAGGAAUAUUGGACAAUGGAGGCAACUCUGAUCCAGCCAUGCCGCGUGCAGGAAGAAGGCGCUACGCGUUGUAAACUGCUUUUAUAACAGAGAAAAUCAUUGUACGUGUACGAUGUUGAUAGUAUGUUAAGAAUAAGCAUCGGCUAACUUCGUGCCAGCAGCCGCGGUAAUACGAAGGAUGCAAGCGUUAUCCGGAUUUAUUGGGUUUAAAGGGAGCGUAGGCGGUCUUAUAAGUCAGUGGUGAAAUCUCGUUGCUUAACAACGAACGUGCCAUUGAUACUGUAGGACUUGAGUACAGUUGCCGUUGGCGGAAUGUGUCAUGUAGCGGUGAAAUGCAUAGAUAUGACACAGAACACCGAUUGCGAAGGCAGCUGACGAAACUGUAACUGACGCUGAGGCUCGAAAGCGUGGGGAUCAAACAGGAUUAGAUACCCUAGUAGUCC
Molecule: ribosomal RNA, 792 nt
Filed under: uncultured bacterium
Lineage: Bacteria
Description: bacterial SSU rRNA
Rfam family: Bacterial small subunit ribosomal RNA
Source: RNAcentral